CCUACGGGUGGCAGCAGUGAGGAAUAUUGGUCAAUGGACGAGAGUCUGAACCAGCCAAGUAGCGUGAAGGAUGACUGCCCUAUGGGUUGUAAACUUCUUUUAUAUGGGAAUAAAGUGAGGCACGUGUGCCUUUUUGUAUGUACUUUAUGAAUAAGGAUCGGCUAACUCCGUGCCAGCAGCCGCGGUAAUACGGAGGAUCCGAGCGUUAUCCGGAUUUAUUUGGUUUAAAGGGAGCGUAGAUGGGUUGUUAAGUCAGUUGUGAAAGUUUGCGGCUCAACCGUAAAAUUGCAAUUGAUACUGGCAGUCUUGAGUACAGUUGAGGUAGGCGGAAUUCGUGGUGUAGCGGUGAAAUGCUUAGAUAUCACGAAGAACUCCGAUUGCGAAGGCAGCUUACUAAACUGCCACUGACAUUGAUGCUCGAAAGUGUGGGUAUCAAACAGGAUUAGAUACCCCUGUAGUC
This 460-nucleotide ribosomal RNA is filed under the name uncultured bacterium. RNAcentral's name for it is "partial 16S ribosomal RNA". It matches the Rfam family "Bacterial small subunit ribosomal RNA", at positions 338 to 795 of the family's 1533-position model. The record is from RNAcentral.